ACGGGAGGCAGCAGUGGGGAAUAUUGCACAAUGGGGGAAACCCUGAUGCAGCGACGCCGCGUGAGUGAAGAAGUAUUUCGGUACGUAAAGCUCUAUCAGCAAGGAAGAAAAUGACGGUACUUGACUAAGAAGCUCCGGCUAAAUACGUGCCAGCAGCCGCGGUAAUACGUAUGGAGCAAGCGUUAUCCGGAUUUACUGGGUGUAAAGGGAGCGUAGACGGCAAAGCAAGUCUGAAGUGAAAUCCCGGGGCUCAACCCCGGAACUGCUUUGGAAACUGUUUAGCUAGAGUGCAGGAGAGGUAAGCGGAAUUCCUAGUGUAGCGGUGAAAUGCGUAGAUAUUAGGAGGAACACCAGUGGCGAAGGCGGCUUACUGGACUGUAACUGACGUUGAGGCUCGAAAGCGUGGGGAGCAAACAGGAUUAGAUACCCUGGUA
Molecule: ribosomal RNA, 434 nt
Filed under: uncultured Lachnospiraceae bacterium
Lineage: Bacteria; Bacillati; Bacillota; Clostridia; Lachnospirales; Lachnospiraceae
Description: partial 16S ribosomal RNA
Rfam family: Bacterial small subunit ribosomal RNA
Source: RNAcentral